GGCUUGGGAGCGGGGUCCACCUAACGGUGCGUACUCUAGCACUCGAGCCUUUCUUCUGGGGACGCCAGUACUUUGUGCUGGAGGAACCAGGACGUUUACUGUGAAAAAAUUAGAGUGUUCAAAGCAGGCAUAUGGCCUGAAUAUACUAGCAUGGAAUAAUGGAAUAGGACUUUGGUUCUAUUUUGUUGGUUUCUAGGACCGAGGUA
Molecule: ribosomal RNA, 206 nt
Filed under: uncultured fungus
Lineage: Eukaryota; Fungi
Description: partial small subunit ribosomal RNA
Rfam family: Eukaryotic small subunit ribosomal RNA (bases 75-206)
Source: RNAcentral